Molecule: long non-coding RNA, 687 nt
Organism: Sipha flava (yellow sugarcane aphid)
Lineage: Eukaryota; Metazoa; Arthropoda; Insecta; Hemiptera; Aphididae
Exons: 3
Source: RefSeq, a predicted model, not a curated record
UGUGAAUAAGAAGCACUAGUGCUACACUAGUUCACUACUGCUAUACUCGAACACGAGACGCCAUGGAUUCACUACCAUACACAUCAGCAUGGGACUUGGGCUUGUCGGCAACACCAGCGGAUAUGAGCCCCGAGAACGUGGACUACGGCCUCAGCGACAUGGUCAGGACCAGUUACUUGGCGAAACUGCGCGAAACGUUAAUGUCCAACCUGAGAGGAAACAUUGCGAGUGACCGUGGCUCGGCUGGAGACGUAACGGUCGGAAUGUUCGUGGAAAAAUGUUUGGGCGAGAUGGAAAAGGACGCGUUAAGGAAAGCAUGGUAGCCGAGAUCUACUGCGAGCGAUGCGUAAAACUGUAGACGAAGUGAACAACUGCACGGGUACGUCAACGAUCCACGAUCGACUGAUGACCACGAUCAUAGGGCAUUCGGAUGGUAGGAAUCGUGAAACCGCAUUGAUGAUGAAGGUCGUUGCUGUCGACGUCAAUGAGGGACAGAAAAACUCCAGUGGCGACGCGUACCAACUUCCAAUCCUGACGCAGACAUAAGUCUUCGAUCAAUAGGGCGAACAGGGCAUUAUGACACUCGCCAUCGAGAAUUUUAAGCGCACAUCAAUGUUUCCGGGAUCGAUAACGAAAGACAUUGUGGACCCGAGUACUAUGAGCAAAGAUGGAACUAGGAAUUUUUAC